AUUGGUGAAGUGGGUGAUCCUAUGCUGUCGAGAAAAACCUCUAGCGAGCUAUGCGCCGCCCGUACCCCAAACCGACUCAGGUGAUCAGGUAGAGAAUACCAAGGCGAUCGAGAUAACCAUGGUUAAGGAACUCGGCAAAAUGCCCCCGUAACUUCGGGAGAAGGGGGGCCCGGAGCGUGUACCCACUUGCUGGGGAAGCGUGAAGGGCCGCAGAGACCAGGCCCAAGCGACUGUUUACUAAGAACACAGGUCCGUGCGAAGUUGUAAGACGAUGUAUACGGACUGACUCCUGCCCGGUGCUGGAAGGUUAAGAGGACGGGUUAGACGUAAGUCGAAGCUCAGAAUUUAAGCCCCAGUAAACGGCGGUGGUAACUAUAACCAUCCUAAGGUAGCGAAAUUCCUUGUCGGGUAAGUUCCGACCUGCACGAAUGGAGUAACGACUUGGGCGCUGUCUCAACCAUGGACUCGGCGAAAUUGCACUACGAGUAAAGAUGCUCGUUACGCGCGGCAGGACGGAAAGACCCCGGGACCUUUACUAUAGUUUGGUAUUGGUGUUUGGUUCGGCUUGUGUAGGAUAGGUGGGAGACUUUGAAGCAGCCACGCCAGUGGUUGUGGAGUCAUCGUUGAAAUACCACUCUGGUCGUACUAGAUGUCUAACCUAGGUCCGUUAUCCGGAUCAGGGACAGUGCCUGAUGGGUAGUUUAACUGGGGCGGUUGCCUCCUAAAAUGUAACGGAGGCGCUCAAAGGUUCCCUCAGCCUGGUUGGCAAUCAGGUGUUGAGUGUAAGUGCACAAGGGAGCUUGACUGUAAGACAGACAUGUCGAGCAGGGACGAAAGUCGGAACUAGUGAUCCGGCCACGGCAUGUGGAAGCGUGGUCGCUCAACGGAUAAAAGGUACCCCGGGGAUAACAGGCUGAUCUUCCCCAAGAGUCCAUAUCGACGGGAUGGUUUGUCACCUCGAUGUCGGCUCGUCGCAUCCUGGGGCUGGAGUAGGUCCCAAGGGUUGGGCUGUUCGCCCAUUAAAGCGGCACGCGAGCUGGGUUUAGAACGUCGUGAGACAGUUCGGUCCCUAUCCGCCGCGCGCGCAGGAAGCUUGAGAAAGGCUGUCCCUAGUACGAGAGGACCGGGAUGGACGAACCUCUGGUGUGCCAGUUGUCCCGCCAGGGGCACGGCUGGUUGGCUACGUUCGGAAGUGAUAACCGCUGAAUGCAUCUAAGCGGGAAGCACGUUUCAAGAUGAGGUUUCCCACCAGGUUAACUGGGUAAGGCCCCCCACAGACUAUGGGGUUGAUAGGCCGGAGGUGUGCAGCAGUAAUGCCC
Molecule: ribosomal RNA, 1319 nt
Filed under: metagenome
Description: bacterial LSU rRNA
Rfam family: Bacterial large subunit ribosomal RNA
Source: RNAcentral